Molecule: ribosomal RNA, 863 nt
Filed under: Shigella sonnei
Lineage: Bacteria; Pseudomonadati; Pseudomonadota; Gammaproteobacteria; Enterobacterales; Enterobacteriaceae
Description: partial 23S ribosomal RNA
Rfam family: Bacterial large subunit ribosomal RNA
Source: RNAcentral
UCCUGACUGACCGAUAGUGAACCAGUACCGUGAGGGAAAGGCGAAAAGAACCCCGGCGAGGGGAGUGAAAAAGAACCUGAAACCGUGUACGUACAAGCAGUGGGAGCACGCUUAGGCGUGUGACUGCGUACCUUUUGUAUAAUGGGUCAGCGACUUAUAUUCUGUAGCAAGGUUAACCGAAUAGGGGAGCCGAAGGGAAACCGAGUCUUAACUGGGCGUUAAGUUGCAGGGUAUAGACCCGAAACCCGGUGAUCUAGCCAUGGGCAGGUUGAAGGUUGGGUAACACUAACUGGAGGACCGAACCGACUAAUGUUGAAAAAUUAGCGGAUGACUUGUGGCUGGGGGUGAAAGGCCAAUCAAACCGGGAGAUAGCUGGUUCUCCCCGAAAGCUAUUUAGGUAGCGCCUCGUGAAUUCAUCUCCGGGGGUAGAGCACUGUUUCGGCAAGGGGGUCAUCCCGACUUACCAACCCGAUGCAAACUGCGAAUACCGGAGAAUGUUAUCACGGGAGACACACGGCGGGUGCUAACGUCCGUCGUGAAGAGGGAAACAACCCAGACCGCCAGCUAAGGUCCCAAAGUCAUGGUUAAGUGGGAAACGAUGUGGGAAGGCCCAGACAGCCAGGAUGUUGGCUUAGAAGCAGCCAUCAUUUAAAGAAAGCGUAAUAGCUCACUGGUCGAGUCGGCCUGCGCGGAAGAUGUAACGGGGCUAAACCAUGCACCGAAGCUGCGGCAGCGACGCUUAUGCGUUGUUGGGUAGGGGAGCGUUCUGUAAGCCUGCGAAGGUGUGCUGUGAGGCAUGCUGGAGGUAUCAGAAGUGCGAAUGCUGACAUAAGUAACGAUAAAGCGGGUGAAAAGCCCGCUCG